ACUCAAAUGAAUAGACGGGGGCCCGCACAAGCAGUGGAGUAUGUGGUUUAAUUCGAAGCAACGCGAAGAACCUUACCAGGGCUUGACAUCCCUUGACGACUGUAGAGAUACAGUUUCCCUUCGGGGCAAGGAGACAGGUGGUGCAUGGUUGUCGUCAGCUCGUGUCGUGAGAUGUUGGGUUAAGUCCCGCAACGAGCGCAACCCCUGUUGCUAGUUGCCAUCAUUAAGUUGGGCACUCUAGCGAGACUGCCGGUGACAAAUCGGAGGAAGGUGGGGACGACGUCAAAUCAUCAUGCCCCUUAUGUCCUGGGCUACACACGUACUACAAUGGCUAUUACAAUGGGAAGCUAAGCCGCAAGGUGGAGCAAAUCCCCAAAAAUAGCCCCAGUUCAGAUUGUGGGCUGCAACUCGCCCACAUGAAGUCGGAAUUGCUAGUAAUUGCAGGUCAGCAUACUGCAGUGAAUACGUUCCCGGGCCUUGUACACACCGCCCGU
This 494-nucleotide ribosomal RNA is filed under the name uncultured bacterium. RNAcentral's name for it is "partial 16S ribosomal RNA". It matches the Rfam family "Bacterial small subunit ribosomal RNA", at positions 899 to 1397 of the family's 1533-position model. The record is from RNAcentral.